This 492-nucleotide ribosomal RNA is filed under the name uncultured bacterium. RNAcentral's name for it is "partial 16S ribosomal RNA". It matches the Rfam family "Bacterial small subunit ribosomal RNA", at positions 29 to 507 of the family's 1533-position model. The record is from RNAcentral.
AGUGAACGCUGGCGGUAGGCCUAACACAUGCAAGUCGAACGGCAGCACAGUAAGAGCUUGCUCUUACGGGUGGCGAGUGGCGGACGGGUGAGGAAUACAUCGGAAUCUACUUUUUCGUGGGGGAUAACGUAGGGAAACUUACGCUAAUACCGCAUACGACCUACGGGUGAAAGCAGGGGAUCUUCGGACCUUGCGCGAUUGAAUGAGCCGAUGUCGGAUUAGCUAGUUGGCGGGGUAAAGGCCCACCAAGGCGACGAUCCGUAGCCGGUCUGAGAGGAUGAUCAGCCACACUGGAACUGAGACACGGUCCAGACUACUACGGGAGGCAGCAGUGGGGAAUAUUGGACAAUGGGCGCAAGCCUGAUCCAGCCAUACCGCGUGGGUGAAGAAGGCCUUCGGGUUGUAAAGCCCUUUUGUUGGGAAAGAAAAGCAGCAGGUUAAUACCCCGCUGUUCUGACGGUACCCAAAGAAUAAGCACCGGCUAACUUCGUG